GGGUUGUGAGGUUAAGCGACUAAGCGUACACGGUGGAUGCCCUGGCAGUCAGAGGCGAUGAAGGACGUGCUAAUCUGCGAAAAGCGACGGUAAGGUGAUAUGAACCGCUACAGCCGUCGAUGUCCGAAUGGGGAAACCCAGUGCACUUUGUGCAUUAUCGUUAACUGAAUACAUAGGUUAACGAGGCGAACCGGGGGAA
This 199-nucleotide ribosomal RNA is filed under the name Pantoea dispersa. RNAcentral's name for it is "partial 23S ribosomal RNA". It matches the Rfam family "Bacterial large subunit ribosomal RNA", at positions 1 to 192 of the family's 2925-position model. The record is from RNAcentral. Lineage: Bacteria; Pseudomonadati; Pseudomonadota; Gammaproteobacteria; Enterobacterales; Erwiniaceae.